RNAcentral lists this ribosomal RNA (254 nucleotides) under uncultured bacterium. Its description in RNAcentral is "partial 16S ribosomal RNA". It matches the Rfam family "Bacterial small subunit ribosomal RNA", at positions 524 to 776 of the family's 1533-position model. The record is from RNAcentral.
CACGUAGGGGACGAGCGUUGUCCGGAUUCAUUGGGCGUAAAGGGCGCGUAGGCGGCCAGCACAGGUCAGUUGUGAAAUCUCCGAGCUUAACUCGGAAAGGUCAACUGAUACUGUGCGGCUAGAGUGCGGAAGGGGCAACUGGAAUUCUUGGUGUAGCGGUGAAAUGCGUAGAUAUCAAGAGGAACACCUGCGGCGAAGGCGGGUUGCUGGGCCGACACUGACGCUGAGGCGCGAAAGCCAGGGGAGCGAACGGG